Molecule: ribosomal RNA, 404 nt
Filed under: uncultured bacterium
Lineage: Bacteria
Description: bacterial SSU rRNA
Rfam family: Bacterial small subunit ribosomal RNA
Source: RNAcentral
UGGGGAAUAUUGGGCAAUGGGAGGAAUCCUGACCCAGCGACGCCGCGUGAACGAAGACGGCCUUCGGGUUGUAAAGUUCUUUUAUGUGGGAAGAAGGAAGUGACGGUACCACAUGAAUAAGCCCCGGCUAACUACGUGCCAGCAGCCGCGGUAAUACGUAGGGGGCGAGCGUUGUCCGGAAUUACUGGGCGUAAAGGGCACGCAGGCUGUGCUUCAAGUCAGCUGUAAAAGGAUGCGGCUUAACCGUGUUAUGCAGUUGAGACUGAGGUGCUGGAGUACCGGAGAGGCAAGUGGAAUUCCCAGUGUAGCGGUGAAAUGCGUAGAUAUUGGGAAGAACAUCGGUGGCGAAGGCGACUUGCUGGACGGUAACUGACGCUGAGGUGCGAAAGCCAGGGUAGCGAACG